Molecule: ribosomal RNA, 253 nt
Filed under: uncultured prokaryote
Description: partial 16S ribosomal RNA
Rfam family: Bacterial small subunit ribosomal RNA
Source: RNAcentral
AAUACGGGGGGGGCAAGCGUUGUUCGGAAUUACUGGGCGUAAAGGGCUCGUAGGCGGCCAACUAAGUCAGACGUGAAAUCCCUCGGCUUAACCUGGGAACUGCAUCCGAUACUGGAUGGCUUGAAUUCGGGAGAGGGAUGCAGAAUUCCAGGUGUAGCGGUGAAAUGCGUAGAUAUCUGGAGGAAUACCGGUGGCGAAGGCGGCAUCCUGGACCGACAUUGACGCUGAACGGCGAAAGCUAGGGGAGCAAACG